CGUCACUUCGUCACAUCCUUGCUGAUUGAAAUAUCCACCAUGAAAACCUUUGCUGUAGCAGUCUGUUUGGUCCUGUUGGUGGCGAUGGCCUCAGCCACAUACAGACAAUACGGCGGAGGCUACGGAGGAUAUGGAAGUGCAUACUAUCCAAGAUACGGAUAUGGAGGAAAUGAUGCAUGGAACAACCAAGACUUCAAUCAGUAUGCCAACAUCAAUCAGCAACAGUCCAACAAGCAAAAGGUCGACCAAGAUUACUAUCGUCGUGGUGGACAUGGAUUCUUCUACCCCGGCGGCAAGGGCCAUUGGUGAUAAUAUGAUUGUCCAUUCACAUUGUCCAUAAUGCAGGACCAUAAUCUUUGCUUAUGUGACUAAUAUGACCUGAAUAAAAACGUAAGUGCUAUAA
RNAcentral lists this unclassified non-coding RNA (403 nucleotides) under Haliotis rubra (blacklip abalone). RNAcentral describes it as "uncharacterized LOC124290842, transcript variant X1". The record is from RNAcentral. Lineage: Eukaryota; Metazoa; Mollusca; Gastropoda; Lepetellida; Haliotidae.